ACAACGCUUGACUAAGCUGUGCCACACCUUGGCCGGGGUGUGCCACAUCUUGGCCUAGGCCAUACCUGCCGGCGGACAAGGUUCACUAAGUACAAGACAUCUCGGCAAUAAAUGCCCGAGGUGAAGGUGGGGGUUGACCAAGAUCUCAAAACAGUUCUGAGUACAAAGGUUCAAAGGCGAACUAAGCUCAAGAUGACCUCGGCCACACAAACACCGAACAAGGAACAAAACCACGCAAGCAAUGCAAACAAACAAGGUAAGCAAAUCCUUCCAAUUAACGUAACAAGGCAAGAUCAUGCAGGAAUGUAUGCAAGUAUGACAAGAGUAAGGUGAGGGUUGUUACAAUAUUUAGCCACCACCACCUUCCUCCACAACCGCCCCCUUUCCUUCACAAACCGCCACAACCCUAAAAGAGUCAAAUUAAACAAUACCAAACUUUGAACCCCAACCCCCUUAUAGGCUUAGGAACACAAAUUCGAUCCCAAUGCAUAACUUAUUGUUUCUGCUGGCUGCAUUGCUGCUCAAAAUUUUGCACCAGCUGAUAUUGUAUAAUACAAAGCAAAGUUUCCGUACAUUCUGACUUGGAAGAUGUUGUUAACUGGCACGACCUUGUCUAAACAUGCUUGUGUUUCCUACGCGUGUAUUCUAUUCUUGUAUAUGAUUUGUUUGGAAUUGCUUGUUUCUAGAAACAUGUAAAAGUCGAGGAUGCUAAUUUGAAACGGGCUCGUGAAGACCUCCAGAACAAAGUUGAUUUUCUGCGAAAGCAAGCUGAUAGCUAUGAUGACAAGGGGCCUGUUAUAGAUGCUGUUGUAUGGCAUGAUGGAGAGCUAUGGAGGGUUGCUCUUGACACACAAAGUCUUGAGGAUGAUCUUGAGCGGGGGAAACUUGCUGAAUUUGUCCUCCUAACUAAUUAUAGUUUGAUGAAGACAAGGGAAAAGGUUGUUCCACGGCUUGCACAAAAAGUGUGUUUGAACGCUUAGAAGAGGUAUUUGAUGAAAACUAAAGUAACCUUCCUGAUUGUAAUACAAAUGUCUCUAUGCAUGCAAUUGUGUCUGGACAUGUGUGCUUGUGUUGUUGUGCAGACACUGGAAGAGUUCCUGUUUCAACUGUUGUAAUUUGCUUGUUGAUAGGGCGGUUGAUUACUUGGUUUUCUACAUGGCUUUUUAUGUUUUCACCUGCUAAAAAUUGUGUGAUGUCUACUUCUUGUUGAUUGUUGUCCUCUCAGAGCUGCACUUGGAGGAUCUUUCAUGCUAAGUUUUGGGUUUAUCAUUUCUUAGCUGUCUUGAGUAUAUUUAUCUUGUAAUUCACUUGUUUAAAUCAGAGAUGCAUAGUUUGAGUUAUCUUUUAGAAUACCAAAUAGAAAAAAGAAAUGUAUUGUCACGACCCCGAACCUGCCCCCAUAGGUUAGGGUCAUAACCAGCCUGUAAUCAUGAGAUUGCCUACAGUCUUAGACUAAAAUCAAGUCAUAUUUAAUAAUAGCGGGCCAGAAGCGGAAGCAGAAUAAUAGAUUUUGUCCAAUGAGCUGUGCAUAUAUGGCAUAACAAAAACUUUUCACUUAUGUAAUAACUCAAACCCAAUAGAACAUAAAAGAUUAUACAUGUCUAGUAGCAUUUAGAAACUAGCAAACCAAAAACCAAGGUUUAUAUAUAGGCCUAGUCUUACAUGACCAUCGAAAGUAAGCAAAAGAAAAUCAAAACAAAAGCGUCGUCCUUGAGGCAACCUUGACUGACUCCAAAAUCUCGGUAACCUUCACAAUCUCACUAAGGUUGGGGUUAGACAUUCCGCUGCUCACUUACAUACAUAUAAAUACGGAGUGAUUUAAAGUUCAAUAAAUAAUACCAGAGUAAAGAGGCUAAUAAAUGAGAUUCGUAUAUAAAUAAAUUAUACUUAUAAUUGAAAUAUUUGAACUACUAUUCUCAUUCAUAGUACAUCAAAAUCCAUAAACUAUACUUGUAGAUCAAUAUCAAAUCAAAUGACCUCGGAUGUAGUGCAUCAUAUCUAUAUACAAAACGACCUCAGGUCCAUUAUAUGCAAAACAACCUCGGGUCCGUCUAUACAAAACGACUUCGGGUCCAAUACUUAUUCAUACACCGUCCUCAAGUCUAAUGGAUCCAUAUAUAAAUGAUCACCGCUGCUUCAUAUCAUAAUACCAAACGACCUCGGGUCCAACAUUCUUAUAUUCAUAUUUAUCUGCAUAUUCAUAUUCAUGAUCAUGAUCAUAUCCGUAGUCAUAUUCAAAACGACCUUUGGUCCAAUCAAUUCCUUAUUCAAAACGACCUUUGGUUCAUUUAACAAUCAUACAAAACGACCUUCAAUCCAAUUCAUAUAUAAGAUGACAUUUAGUCUUAUCUUGUUAAACAUUCCAAAUGGCCUUAGGCCUAAUCCGUAUCCUUGUCAAAUAUACCAAACGGCCUUAGGCCCAUUUCAUAUUUUUGAUCAAACAUACCAAAUGGCUUUGGGCCUAUUUUGUUUUCAUACAUCAGUUACUUUACAGAUUCUAUUACGAAUCAAACAGAUAGAAUAAUCAUUCAUAGUAUAAAUUCAUAAGUUCAUAAACUUACCACAUAGGUAACAUUUAGAAAAUAAUACAUAUACAAAAAUAUUUUUACUAAGAUAUUACUCACAGUGUUCAAAUGCUUGAUUUGUCCUUGCAAUUAACCCUACAUAAUUCACAACACAUUGGGUCAUAAUAUAAUUUAAUCUGUUCUUUAGUUUGCUUAAUUUCUCAGGCUUCUUUCGUGUUCUUUAAUUCAUUUGGAAUGCUCAACGUAUGCCUAAGAAUGCUCAGAAAUGAAGGAGAACAUCAAUUGGAACAUAAAACAACUUUUCAAAAUUUCCUGAAAUAGGACACUUUGCUCGAGCGACCCCUUGGUCUGCAAAAGUAUUGGAUGCUUCAUUUUUACGCUCGAGCUCAAUUUUGGUCGCUCGAGCCAAUGCUAAAAAAUGUGAGUGGUCACUCGAGCAGUACUUUUGUCGCUCGAGCCAACCUUUCAAUAUCUGCAAAAGUAUUGGUUGCUUGCAUUAUAUGCUCGAGCGGUAACUUCUUCGCUCGAGUGGUGAAGUCGAAUUUUAGAAUUUCCAGAAUUUAUUUGAGCUUCAAACACACAUUCAAGGGUCCAAAUUUAUGCAUGAUUCACGCAAAUAUGUAAGAACAUUCUCAAUUAUAUAUAUAUUUGGAGCUAAUUUUAACCCAUGAUUCAAAAUUUCAUAAAUUCAACCAAAUUCAAACUUUGAACUACUUGUAAGCAACGCAUGUUUUUAUAUCUUGCAUAUGUAAGCUUCAAGACUUAAAAUUAGACUUCAAUACAUGAUAAUUUGUGUCAAUCAACCCUCAAUUUAACAUGAUUAACAUACUUUAUGCUCAAAUAUGCAAAAAUCAUGGCAAAUUCUUACAUGCAUGCAUCUAUUAACUUCAAAUUCAACAUUGUCAACUUAAUUCUUGUUCUUAGUCAUAUAUUAUGUUUGGAUUCACAUUGUUAUGAACUUAAACUUAUGAAUUAGAGCUCAAUCACUUACUUAGAGCCAUCAAUUCCUUCAAUUCUAGUUAAUUCUUGAAUCUAGCUCUUGAAUUUCCCAAGCUUGAGUUCAAUUCUUCAAGAACAGCUCCCUCUCUCUCUAAUUCUCACUUUUCUCUCUCUAUGGUGUAUAAAUUCAGCCAAGUAAUGAAAAUGAGCUCAAUGUCUUGAGCCUAAGCACUAAUUAUAUAUAUAGUGGUGAUUAGCUUAAGCUAAUUAACUAAGGAUUAGUCUAAUUAACCAAGGCUCAAUUAUUUAAUUUAAUCUAAUUAUUUUGAUCUGAAUCGUUUUUUUAAUCAAACUUCACCAUAUGCUUUAAAAAUCAUGCCAAUCACAAUGGUAUAAUCAAUUUUGGUUUCUGUCGCCUUUACGACUCUCAAUUUCAAAUUAUAACCAAUAGUAGAACAGAUUUCUCUACGGUGAACAGAUAUAAAUUCAAUAACUUAUUUAAUCACACAACUAACACCAAUAAAUCAUAUUAAGUACAUAAUCACAAGUAUAGUUAAGAUUAGCAUUAUAACACAGA
Camellia sinensis is the source of this 4041-nucleotide non-coding RNA. Lineage: Eukaryota; Viridiplantae; Streptophyta; Magnoliopsida; Ericales; Theaceae. The record is from RefSeq and is a predicted model, not a curated record.